CAAAACUAUGUUCAGCAAACCAGCUAGCAAGAAGCAAAAAACCUUGCAGAGUUUCUUCCAAACAAACCAUAAAGAGCAGGGUCAGAGUGGAGACAGUGGACCAGAGGCCAGCAAGGAUGAUCAUGCAGGAUAGAAGAGGGACAGGGAGAAACCAGGCAGGUAUCAGGACAGGGACCUGACAGCAGCAC
Molecule: long non-coding RNA, 188 nt
Organism: Epinephelus fuscoguttatus (brown-marbled grouper)
Lineage: Eukaryota; Metazoa; Chordata; Actinopteri; Perciformes; Serranidae
Exons: 3
Source: RefSeq, a predicted model, not a curated record